Molecule: ribosomal RNA, 242 nt
Filed under: uncultured bacterium
Lineage: Bacteria
Description: partial 16S ribosomal RNA
Rfam family: Bacterial small subunit ribosomal RNA
Source: RNAcentral
GAUCAUGGCUCAGGAUGAACGCUGGCGGCGUGCUUAACACAUGCAAGUCGAGCGAAGCACUUAAGUUUGAUUCUUCGGAUGAAGACUUUUGUGACUGAGCGGCGGACGGGUGAGUAGGCGCGUGGGUAACCUGCCUCAUACAGGGGGAUAACAGUUAGGAAACUGACUGCUAAUACCGCAUAAGACCACGGUACCGCAUGGUACAGUGGUAAAAACUCCGGUGGUAUGAGAUGGACCCGUCG